RNAcentral lists this ribosomal RNA (722 nucleotides) under Ganoderma wiiroense. RNAcentral describes it as "eukaryotic LSU rRNA". The stretch from base 227 to 380 matches the Rfam family "5.8S ribosomal RNA". The record is from RNAcentral. Lineage: Eukaryota; Fungi; Basidiomycota; Agaricomycetes; Polyporales; Polyporaceae.
UGCGGAAGGAUCAUUAUCGAGUUUUGAACUGGGUUGUAGCUGGCCUUCCGAGGCAUGUGCACGCCCUGCUCAUCCACUCUACACCUGUGCACUCACUGUGGGCUUCAGGCAUUAUUGCGGAGCGCGUUCCUCACUGGACUUGUGGAAGCAGUGUGUCUGUGCCUACGUUUAUCACAAACUCUAUAAAGUAUCAGAAUGUGUAUUGCGAUGUAACGCAUCUAUAUACAACUUUCAGCAACGGAUCUCUUGGCUCUCGCAUCGAUGAAGAACGCAGCGAAAUGCGAUAAGUAAUGUGAAUUGCAGAAUUCAGUGAAUCAUCGAAUCUUUGAACGCACCUUGCGCUCCUUGGUAUUCCGAGGAGCAUGCCUGUUUGAGUGUCAUGAAAUCUUCAACCUACGAGCUUUUGUGGUUUGUAGGCUUGGACUUGGAGGCUUGUCGGCCGUUCUUGGUCGGCUUCUCUUAAAUGCAUUAGCUUGGUUCCUUGCGGAUCGGCUCUCGGUGUGAUAAUGUCUACGCUGCGACCGUGAAGCGUUUGGCGAGCUUCUAACCGUCUCUUUGAGACAGCUUUAUGACCUCUGACCUCAAAUCAGGUAGGACUACCCGCUGAACUUAAGCAUAUCAAUAAGCGGAGGAAAAGAAACUAACAAGGAUUCCCCUAGUAACUGCGAGUGAAGCGGGAAAAGCUCAAAUUUAAAAUCUGGCGGUCUUUGACCGUCCGAGUU